This 466-nucleotide ribosomal RNA is filed under the name uncultured bacterium. RNAcentral describes it as "bacterial SSU rRNA". It matches the Rfam family "Bacterial small subunit ribosomal RNA", at positions 329 to 792 of the family's 1533-position model. The record is from RNAcentral.
UUCCAGACUCCUACGGGAGGCAGCAGUGAGGAAUAUUGGUCAAUGGGCGGGAGCCUGAACCAGCCAAGUCGCGUGAGGGAUGACGGUCCUACGGAUUGUAAACCUCUUUUGCCGGGGAGCAAGCGUGCGUUCGUGAACGCGCGUCGAGAGUACCCGGAGAAAAAGCAUCGGCUAACUCCGUGCCAGCAGCCGCGGUAAUACGGAGGAUGCGAGCGUUAUCCGGAUUUAUUGGGUUUAAAGGGUGCGCAGGCGGGCUGUUAAGCCGGCGGUAAAAAUUCAGGGCUCAACCCUGUCGAGCCGUCGGAACUGGCAGUCUUGAGUGGGCGAGAAGUAUGCGGAAUGCGUGGUGUAGCGGUGAAAUGCAUAGAUAUCACGCAGAACGCCGAUUGCGAAGGCAGCAUACCGGCGCCCAACUGACGCUGAGGCACGAAAGCGUGGGGAUCGAACAGGAUUAGAUACCCCCGUA